CCACACUGGGACUGAGACACGGCCCAGACUCCUACGGGAGGCAGCAGUGGGGAAUAUUGCACAAUGGGCGAAAGCCUGAUGCAGCGACGCCGCGUGAGGGAUGACGGCCUUCGGUUGUAAACCUCUUUCAGUAGGGAAGAAGCGAAAGUGACGGUACCUGCAGAAGAAGCACCGGCUAACUACGUGCCAGCAGCCGCGGUAAUACGUAGGGUGCGAGCGUUAUCCGGAAUUAUUGGGCGUAAAGAGCUCGUAGGCGGUUUGUCGCGUCUGUCGUGAAAGUCCGGGGCUUAACCCCGGAUCUGCGGUGGGUACGGGCAGACUAGAGUGCAGUAGGGGAGACUGGAAUUCCUGGUGUAGCGGUGGAAUGCGCAGAUAUCAGGAGGAACACCGAUGGCGAAGGCAGGUCUCUGGGCUGUAACUGACGCUGAGGAGCGAAAGCAGUGGGGAGCGAACAGGAUUAGAUACCCUGGUAGUCCAUGCCGUAAACGUUGGGCACUAGGUGUGGGGACCAUUCCGACGGUUUCCGCGCCGCAGCUAACCG
This 541-nucleotide ribosomal RNA is filed under the name uncultured Micrococcus sp. RNAcentral describes it as "bacterial SSU rRNA". It matches the Rfam family "Bacterial small subunit ribosomal RNA", at positions 308 to 857 of the family's 1533-position model. Lineage: Bacteria; Bacillati; Actinomycetota; Actinomycetes; Micrococcales; Micrococcaceae. The record is from RNAcentral.